Molecule: small RNA, 253 nt
Filed under: Pan troglodytes (chimpanzee)
Lineage: Eukaryota; Metazoa; Chordata; Mammalia; Primates; Hominidae
Description: processed transcript
Source: RNAcentral
UGGUGUUUGUUUGCACAAGGAUUCUUUGGUAACAAUCUGUAGUCGGUUUCUGGCGGAAUGCGAGGUGAAGUCACGAUUUUCGGGAUGGAGAUUUGUGCUUGAGAAGCUCUGAGUUCCCGUCUGUCCACCUGCAUUGGCAUAUGGCGUCUCCCUUCUCUCCUGGACAGAAGGCCGUGUCCUGGGACUUCUCUGAUGGCGGGAGGCUGCGGCUGUACCAGUUGGAGACAAGAAAGAAGCUUCUCCAGGCUCCCCU